RNAcentral lists this ribosomal RNA (440 nucleotides) under uncultured bacterium. Its description in RNAcentral is "partial 16S ribosomal RNA". It matches the Rfam family "Bacterial small subunit ribosomal RNA", at positions 338 to 795 of the family's 1533-position model. The record is from RNAcentral.
CCUACGGGGGGCAGCAGUGGGGAAUAUUGCACAAUGGGGGAAACCCUGAUGCAGCGACGCCGCGUGAGUGAAGCAGUAAUUCGUUAUGUAAAGCUCUAUCAGCAGGGAAGCAAAUGACGGUACCUGAGUAAGAAGCCCCGGCUAACUACGUGCCAGCAGCCGCGGUAAGACGUAGGGGGCAAGCGUUAUCCGGAUUUAGUGGGUGUAAAGGGAGAUUAGACGGCAGUGCAAGUCUGGAGUGAAAGGCGGGGGCUCAACCCCCGGACUGCUCUGGAAACUGUACGGCUGGAGUGCAGGAGAGGUAAGUGGAAUUCCUAGUGUAGCGGUGAAAUGCGUAGAUAUUAGGAGGAACACCAGUGGCGAAGGCGGCUUACUGGACUGUAACUGACGUUGAGGCUCGAAAGCGUGGGGAGCAAACAGGAUUAGAUACCCUAGUAGUC